GCGGACGGGUGAGUAACGCUAGGAAUCUGCCUGGUAGUGGGGAUAACGUUCGGAAACGGACGCUAAUACCGCAUACGUCCUACGGGAGAAAGCAGGGGACCUUCGGGCCUUGCGCUAUCAGAUGAGCCUAGGUCGGAUUAGCUAGUUGGUGGGGUAAUGGCUCACCAAGGCGACGAUCCGUAACUGGUCUGAGAGGAUGAUCAGUCACACUGGAACUGAGACACGGUCCAGACUCCUACGGGAGGCAGCAGUGGGGAAUAUUGGACAAUGGGCGAAAGCCUGAUCCAGCCGUGCCGCGUGUGUGAAGAAGGUCUUCGGAUUGUAAAGCACUUUAAGUUGGGAGGAAGGGUUGUAGAUUAAUACUCUGCAAUUUUGACGUUACCGACAGAAUAAGCACCGGCUAACUCUGUGCCAGCAGCCGCGGUAAUACAGAGGGUGCAAGCGUUAAUCGGAAUUAUUGGGCGUAAAGCGCGCGUAGGUGGUUCGUUAAGUUGGAUGUGAAAUCCCCGGGCUCAACCUGGGAACUGCAUUCAAAACUGACGAGCUAGAGUAUGGUAGAGGGUGGUGGAAUUUCCUGUGUAGCGGUGAAAUGCGUAGAUAUAGGAAGGAACGCCAGUGGCGAAGGCGACCACCUGGACUGAUACUGACACUGAGGUGCGAAAGCGUGGGGAGCAAAC
Molecule: ribosomal RNA, 677 nt
Filed under: uncultured bacterium
Lineage: Bacteria
Description: bacterial SSU rRNA
Rfam family: Bacterial small subunit ribosomal RNA
Source: RNAcentral